This 4656-nucleotide long non-coding RNA is filed under the name Lotus japonicus. Its description in RNAcentral is "long non-coding RNA (LJAP_LNC002104)". Lineage: Eukaryota; Viridiplantae; Streptophyta; Magnoliopsida; Fabales; Fabaceae. The record is from RNAcentral.
AUGUAUCAUCAAACAAAGGAGGUGUAGCAUUAAAAGCAUAGCUUGUAAACUUGACUAAGCUCUUCCUUGAAAUUCUCUGAUAUAGCAAGUUCUUGUGUUAUCUCAACCAACACUUCCAAUUCAGCAAUGGCUUCCUCAACUUCUGCUAUGCAAUCUAUCCUGGCUAACCCUAUGAUCCGCAUGACCACCAGGUCAAGGGUGAACCAGUUCACCAUUCCUUCUGUCUACAUGCCAAGCCUGAGAAGGAACUCUAGCUUGAGAGUUAGGUCCAUGGCUGAAGAGCCAAAAGAGCAAAGUGCUAGCCCAGUUACUCCAUCACCACCACCACCAAAACCUCGUGCACCAAAGGUGAGUGAGCCAAGUGUUUGAAGAAUAUAAUUUACAUAGUUGUGACUCUGUUCACUAUUUUCUUUACAUUUAAUUAGUUAUAUAUGCUAAUUAAUCCUUGGAUAUGAGACUUUACUAACAUGAGUGAUGGUAAAAUUGCAGGUGAGCACUAAGUUUUCAGAUGUGAUGGCAUUUGGUGGGCCUGCACCUGAGAGGAUCAAUGGAAGAUUGGCCAUGAUUGGGUUUGUAGCUGCAAUGGCAGUGGAAGUUGCCAGAGGGCAGGGAGUGUUUGAACAAAUAUCAGAUGGUGGAGUUCCAUGGUUCUUGGGAACUAGUGUGGUGCUCACUCUAGCUUCAUUGGUUCCACUGUUUCAAGGGGUUAGUGUGGAGUCAAAGUCCAAAGGAGUCAUGACCUCUGAUGCAGAGCUCUGGAAUGGAAGGCUUGCUAUGUUGGGUUUGAUUGCCUUGGCCUUUACAGAGUAUGUUAAGGGAGGAAUCCUGGUGUAAGAGUUCAAAGGCUUAGGAACAAUGUAUUAUAAGGAUUGAUUUAUAGAAGGUUAUGCAUGAAACUUGGUGUGUUUAUUAAUACACAUAGAAUUAAUGAAAUUUCAUACCUUAUUCAUAAACAGAUUUCUUGUUAUCUAUUUCUAAACUAAGAGCAAAAAUCGUUGAAGGCUAUUAUUAACUGUUGGGAUCCAUACAAAUCAAACAAUGUAUUGUUAAUCUGCCUUAUUGAAUAACUUAAAUUUCAAACAUGGAGAUAAACAGGAAAAUAUGAUGGGGUUCUUGCUAAUGAGAAUCAGGUAAUUACUAUCCGGCAAUUGCAAUUAUCUCAUGGCAAACCUGCAGUUAACCUUCAACAUUGUAAUAGCAAAUAUCUAUCUAACAAUGCAUUCAGGAUAACACUGAAAUGUCAUUAAACUAGUUCACACUUCAUAAUGAUAAAUUCGAUGAGAAUUGCAAUAGCAGAUACUAAAAUUACAUUUCAGGAUAUCGAAUGGAACUUUCACUCUUAAUCAGAGAGAAAGCUCAACAUGUCCUUUUUUUCUUGGUUGCCAAAGACUUGAGAGAGAAGAUUACAGCUGGGAGAGAAGUUUACACAUAUGGACUUGGGAAGCUUGGAGGGGUUGUUCAUAAAAUUGACUUGAGUAUGACUUGAGUCGACAAUGUUAAUUGUUCAAUCAUAAAAUACUAAUUAACUCAAAUGGUUAAAAUUGACUUGAGUAUGACUUGAGUCGACAAUGUUAAAUCAUAAAAUACUAAUUAACUUAAUAUUUAAUUGUUCAAUCAUAAAAUACUAAUUAACUCAAAUGGUUGUUCAUAAAAUUGACUUGAGUAUGACUUGAGUCGACAAUGUUAAAUCAUAAAAUACUAAUUAACUUAAUAUGCUGCUUCCGUUUAAUUAUCGACCCUCUCUUUUUAACACAUAAUGAUUGAAAUUUAUUUGGUUUCCACUCAACAUGUCCUUUUUUUCUUGUUUUCCACAAACACUUGAGAGAGAAGGUUACACAUGAGAGAGAAGUUUACACAUAUGACUUGGGAUGCUGAGAGUGGUUGUUCAUAAAAUUGAGUCAAUGUUAAAUAAUAAAAUAUUAAUUAACUCAAUAUUCUACUUUUGUUUAUGCUAUCAACCUUCUCUUUUUAACACAUAAUGAUUGAAAUUUAUUUGGGUUACACUCAAAAUGUGAGUCUCAACUCUCACCACCAAUUUAAUAUGUUCCACGUGAAUUUCAACUAAUAAAAAAAAGUGUUGAAAAGAGAGUUAAAAUGAGUGUUGUUAGCUACUCCCCGUAAUAACACUAUUAUAUGUAUAGAGUACUUAUUAGAAAAUUUUACUAAACUAGUGCAUAAUUUUUUUUAAUUACACAUCUUAUGUAAAUCGCCACUUAAAGUGUUUAUACCAUUUUUUUUCUUACUUUUUUUAUUGAAAUCGUCACGGUCAGUGGCGACAUGUUCUUUUUUUUUUUCACUUUCUUUCUUAGUGACGGAAACGCAUCCGUCACAAUAUACUAGUAUAAAAAAGAAUUUGUGACGCAAUGUGGAGAGAGAAUUCCGUCACAAACUAACAUUUCCUGACAAAAUUCCGUCGCCAAUUAUUUUGCAAUAUUCACUUAGAUUUUGUGACGGAAAGAACUUCGUCGCAAAGUAUAUUCCGUCGCUACGACGGACUACUUCUUUCAACACAUUCCGUCACUAAUUUCUUUUAGAGUAUGUAUUGGAAUUCUGUGACGGAUUUGUUUCCGUCACUAAUGUAAUUUUUUUUUUUGAAAAAAAGGCCAUGUCGCGACUGACGGUGGCGAUUUCAAUAAAAGAAAAAAGGGUAUCGCCACUUGUAAUGGUGAUUUACCCCAGUUAUGUAAUUAAAAAAAUAUAUGCACUAGUUUGAUAAUUUUUUAAAAAAUUGCACUAUGUAGGUACCAAAGUCGAUUACAACAUCCACAUACAUAUACACCGACACAAAAUAAAAUGUUUGGGUACAUACAUCUGGAUGUAGUUCAACUGGAAACAAGUUUAUGGCUUCUGGGUUGAAUGUGAAUCCACUGAAGGUGACACAAUUUUUGCAUUAGUGACAUGCACAGAAUGAAAAACCAUAUGUAGAAGAGAAUUAACAAAAGUUAUAAUCAAUCAUGCGACAGACAAUAGAAAAAUUUCCCUAGACUUAAUCAUCUCGAGCGUCAAUAGUCAAGAUCACCCAAGGCGGGUAAUAAGCAAGCACAUGCAGUUCAUAAGCAGAAUGAAAUGAAGCACGACCAACAAAUUGUAAGAGUAAAAGCCUUCUAGUAGGAAUAAUGAUACUUUCACACCUCUGUUAGAAGUGGAAAGAAGUGAAAUGAAGAAAGAGAUAAGACGAAAAGAAAAAGUAAGAAAGAGAAAAAGUAUGAGAUGUGAUAUAUUAUAAUAUAAGAGAUAAAAAUAAAAAUAUGUGGAAAUAAAGUGUAUAAAAAACAAGGUGUAUACAUACAUUAUUGUUCUUGUAGUGACCGAACUAGGUUUGCAGUUAAAACUAAUUGAAGUCCUAAAGGUUCCACGUCCAACACCAACCAUUUUAACCCCUGAUUCAGGGUGUGUUUGGAUGCACGUUGGAUCAGGCCUGAUCCACGUUUAAAGACCUCAAACGUGAUUUUUCCAUCUCCAUUGAUGUUUGGAUGCUAAAUGCUGAUCCAAUUCUGGCCCCAGAAUUGGAUCCAUCCUAACACAACAAUUUGUUGCUUCAGCAUCAAUGCUGAUCCAAUUGUCCCCUCACCCUUUUACAGAUCCAAUUCAAGUCUAUCAGAUCCAAUUCCUGAUAAAUGUAUCCAAACAUAAAUCAUGUCACUCAAACUCACGUUUACCAGAUCCAAUUCUUCCAGAUUCAAUUCUGGCCAGAUCCAAUUCUGCUAACGCUAAUCCAAACACACACUCACCCUUAUGGCCCUCAAGGGAACCACGUCUCCUCCUUUUACCAUGUGUGGACAAGAGAACCCACGUGAACCAAUUACCUUUUGUGCCUAUACACACUUGACGUGGAACCAAUAUGUCCACCACAAUGCUUGCCUUUAAUUCUAUAAAAACUACCUUAUUCUAUUCAAUGCAUUCACCAAACAUAGGAGGUGUAGCAUUAAAAGCAUAGCUUAUAAACUUUACUAAGCUCUUCCUAGAAAUUCUCUGAUAUAGCAAGUUCUUGUGUUAACUCAAUCAACACUUCCAAUUCAGCAAUGGCUUCCUCAACUUCUGCUAUGCAAUCUAUCCUGGCUAACCCUAUGAUCCGCAUGACCACCAGGUCAAGGGUGAACCAGUUCACCAUUCCUUCUGUCUACAUGCCAAGCCAGAGAAGGAACUCUAGCCUGAGAGUUAGGUCCAUGGCUGAAGAGCCAAAAAAGCAACCUAUUGAACCUGCUACUAGUGCAAGCCCAGUUACUCCAUCAGCACCACCACCAAAACCUCGUGCACCAAAGGUGAGUGAGCCAAGUGUUUGAAAAUUUUAAUUUGUAUAAUUUACAUAGUUGUGACUCUGUUCACUAUUUUCUUUACAUUUAGUCAUGCUAAUUACACCAUGGUUAUGAGACUUUUACUUACAUUAGUGACGGUAAAAUUGCAGGUGAGCACUAAGUUUUCAGAUGUGAUGGCAUUUGGUGGGCCUGCACCUGAGAGGAUCAAUGGAAGAUUGGCCAUGAUUGGGUUUGUAGCUGCAAUGGCAGUGGAAGUUGCCAGAGGGCAGGGAGUGUUUGAACAAAUAUCAGAUGGUGGAGUUCCAUGGUUCUUGGGGACUAGUGUGGUGCUCACUCUAGCUUCAUUGGUUCCAUUGUUUCAAGGGGUUAGUGUGGAAUCAAAGUCCAAAGGAGUCAUGAC